This 460-nucleotide ribosomal RNA is filed under the name uncultured bacterium. RNAcentral describes it as "partial 16S ribosomal RNA". It matches the Rfam family "Bacterial small subunit ribosomal RNA", at positions 338 to 795 of the family's 1533-position model. The record is from RNAcentral.
CCUACGGGAGGCAGCAGUGAGGAAUAUUGGUCAAUGGGCGAGAGCCUGAACCAGCCAAGUCGCGUGAGGGAAGACGGCCCUAUGGAUUGUAAACCUCUUUUGUCGGGGAGCAAAAACGCCUCCCUGUGCCAGAAGUGAGAGUACCCGAAGAAAAAGCAUCGGCUAACUCCGUGCCGGCAGCCGCGGUAAUACGGGGGAUGCGAGCGUUAUCGGGAUUUAUUGGGUUAAAAGGGUGCGUAGGCGGACUGGAAAGUCAGCGGUAAAAUCGAGUGGCUCAACCUCUCUCCGCCGUUGAAACUGUCGUGCUUGAGUGGGCGAGAAGUAUGCGGAAUGCGUGGGGUAGCGGUGAAAUGCAUAGAUAUCACGCAGAACUCCGAUUGCGAAGGCAGCAUACCGGCGCCCGACUGACGCUGAGGCACGAAAGCGUGGGUAUCGAACAGGAUUAGAUACCCGAGUAGUC